GGGAGUCUGCCUAGCUAUUCUGGAGCCUACACGUGGUCACCUGAAGCUGGCUCCAAGGAUGAUUUGAUUCCCUCUUCUCUUCCAGUUCCGAGAUGCCUCCCAGGCUCGAACCCGGACAUGAGAGCCGCAGGCCGGCCCCAACCAUUUGGCGAACCAACUUGGGACUUAGGAAUGGCAGAGGACAUUUGGAAGAAACACUGCUGGUUUGGAGCUCCAUGGAAGAAGAAAAGAAUUAAAGAAAAUUCAUACCGGAGAAGGAAACACAGAGACAAAAAAUGGAGCAGACUGAAGGAAAGGCCAUCCAGAGACUGUCCCACCUUGUGAUUCUUCCCAUCUGCAGACACCAAACCCUGACACUAUUGCUGAUACCAAGACGUACUCCCAGACAGGAGCCUAGUAUGGCUGUCCUCGGAGAGGCUCUGCCAGCAUCUGACUAAGAUAGAUGCAGGUACUCACAGCUAACCAUUGGACUGAACCCAGCGACCCCAAUGGAUGAGUUAGGGAAGGACUGAAGGAGCCGAAGGGGCUUACAAUCCUAUAGGAAGAACAACAAUAUCAACUAAACUAAACGGAACCUCCAGAGCUCACGGGACAAAACCACAAUCAAAGAGUACACAUGGAGGGACCCAUGGCUCCAUCUGCAUAUGCAGCAGAAAGUUGUCUUAUCUAGCUUCAAUGGGAGGGGAGACUCUUGGUCUUAUGAAGGCUUGUUGCCCUAGCAUAGGGGAAUGCUAGAGGGGUGAGGUGGGAGUGGGUGGGUAGGUUGGGGAACACACUCAUAGAGGCAGGGGGUGGGAUGAGGUAGUUUGCAGAGGGAAGACUGGGGACUAGGGACAACAUUUGAAAUGUAAAUAAAUAAAGUAACCAAUUAAU
Molecule: long non-coding RNA, 873 nt
Filed under: Mus musculus (house mouse)
Lineage: Eukaryota; Metazoa; Chordata; Mammalia; Rodentia; Muridae
Description: pluripotency associated transcript 10
Source: RNAcentral